AAUAGGUCUCAGUUCGGACUGUAGGCUGCACUCGCCUACACGAAGUUGGAAUUGCUAGUAAUCGUGGAUCAGCAUGCCACGGUGAAUACGUUCCCGGGCCUUGUACACACCGCCCGUCACACCAUGAGAGUUGAGAAUACCCGAAGCCCAUGUCAAAGUGGUCGAAGGUAGGCUUGAUGAUUGGGGUGAAGUCGUAACAAGGUAGC
This 206-nucleotide ribosomal RNA is filed under the name uncultured bacterium. RNAcentral's name for it is "partial 16S ribosomal RNA". It matches the Rfam family "Bacterial small subunit ribosomal RNA", at positions 1280 to 1500 of the family's 1533-position model. The record is from RNAcentral.